GAUGAACGCUGGCGGCGUGCUUAACACAUGCAAGUCGAACGGUGAAACCGGAGCUUGCUCUGUGGGAUCAGUGGCGAACGGGUGAGUAACACGUGAGCAACCUGCCCCUGUCUCUGGGAUAAGCGCUGGAAACGGCGUCUAAUACUGGAUAUGUGAUGUGACCGCAUGGUCUGCGUUUGGAAAGAUUUUUCGGUUGGGGAUGGGCUCGCGGCCUAUCAGCUAGUUGGUGAGGUAAUGGCUCACCAAGGCGUCGACGGGUCGCCGGCCUGAGAGGGUGGCCGGCCACACUGGGAUUGAGACACGGCCCAGACUCCUACGGGAGGCAGCAGUGGGGAAUAUUGCACAAUGGGCGAAAGCCUGAUACAGCAACGCCGCGAGAGGGAUAACGGCCUUCGGGUUGUAAACCUUUGUGAACAGGGAAGAAGCGAAAGUGACGGUACCUGCAGAAAAAGCGCCGGCUAACUACGUG
RNAcentral lists this ribosomal RNA (469 nucleotides) under uncultured bacterium. Its description in RNAcentral is "partial 16S ribosomal RNA". It matches the Rfam family "Bacterial small subunit ribosomal RNA", at positions 28 to 507 of the family's 1533-position model. The record is from RNAcentral.